GACAUGAUGGCAGAUAGUGUC
Molecule: non-coding RNA, 21 nt
Filed under: Mus musculus (house mouse)
Lineage: Eukaryota; Metazoa; Chordata; Mammalia; Rodentia; Muridae
Source: RNAcentral